ACCCGCGCGGGAGGCGCGGGCCCUGGCGACUGCUGGCGCUUCGCUGCCGUCGGUGCACGUGGGCGGGAGGAUUGCGGCAGCCGCCCCUCUCCCCCUGUGCCGUCGCCAACCCCGCAGGCUGCCGCCUCGCGCCGCCCCGAGGGGGAGCUCCCGGGCGACGGAGAGAGCGGGGAGCAAAAGCCAGCCCAGGGCAGGACGCCCGGUGACGGUAGAACUGACUGGAGCGCGGGAAGCUGGCGGAUUGCCGCUACCAACCUUCGCGCAGGACAGUGGGGCUUCUGCAGAUGAGUAAGAACUUGCCAACAAGGUUUCAUCCAGGAGAACGUACAGAGACACUUACUGACAUCAGCAUUGUCUCUCUGACAGAUGGAAUGAAAUACAUUCCUUGGUGGCCAAUAAGGAAAUGACAGUGUGAGCUUUGUCCAGUAUAAAAUGAAAGCAUGCAUCAGGGCAGCGGAGAGACAUCACGUCAAAUCUACAGAUCACUUUACUGGCCCUGGUUUUAAAAAAAACCAACCAAACAGCGUUUUUCCUAAACUGUGUCAGUCACCUGAGUUCAGAGGUAUGAGACUGCUCUCCGUGUUCCAGCCAGCAGAGUUCUGGAUGGGAACACAGUGUCUUCCAGGCAGUGAGAGAACCUCAUAGAUAACUCCUCAUUAGUUCUGCUGGUCUUCCCGCAUGCUAUGUCAAACAGUUUCCCUUGGAGAUACCACACUGCCAAGCAAGGACCUCCAGGAUCCUCCUCUGAAGAGAAUCUAGAUACACCCCCCAACCCUUGGCAUGAAGCAAAAGCCGCUCAUUUCGGACGCACCACCCUCUGCAGUCAGUGUGGAGACCACUGAAUGCAAUGGCCGCCAGCAGAGAUGAGCUAAGGGCGGAUCUGCCUGAAGCCCUAGCUAGGCCCUUUCUUUCUGGUUGUUCUUCUCCCUGCCUGCUACAGGCAAGGGUACCUGAAGAACGCAAAGGACACAGGGCAAGGAAUCCAGAGACAUCUUCCCAGUUCCUUCCGUCACUUGGUAAUGGCAUGAUUUGGAGUGAAUGGUUGCUUCAGGGAGAGACCCUUUGAGCUUUCUGCCAUCACGCCACUCUAGCCUUCCACGGGGGACAGGCUUUUCACUCCCAUAUCUAUUGAUGGUUUUUUUGUUUUGUUUUGUUUUGUUUUUCAAGACAGGGUUUCUCUGUAUAGCCCUGGCUGUCCUGGAACUCACUCUGUAGACCAGGCUGG
Molecule: long non-coding RNA, 1225 nt
Organism: Mastomys coucha (southern multimammate mouse)
Lineage: Eukaryota; Metazoa; Chordata; Mammalia; Rodentia; Muridae
Exons: 3
Source: RefSeq, a predicted model, not a curated record